AGGCAAGAUGUUGGCAUAGCUGUUGAAUUCUAUGACCUGCUAUGCCUUCAGAUUGUCAUC
RNAcentral lists this microRNA precursor (60 nucleotides) under Lepisosteus oculatus (spotted gar). Its description in RNAcentral is "Loc-Mir-31-P9_pre stem-loop". Lineage: Eukaryota; Metazoa; Chordata; Actinopteri; Semionotiformes; Lepisosteidae. The record is from RNAcentral.